CCGGCGCACGGGUGAGUAACGCGUAUCCAACCUGCCUCUGACUGAGGGAUAACCCGUCGAAAGUCGGCCUAAUACCUCAUGGCAUCGUCUGCGGGCAUCCAACGACGAUUAAAGAUUUCAUCGGUCAGGGAUGGGGAUGCGUCUGAUUAGCUUGUUGGCGGGGUAACGGCCCACCAAGGCUACGAUCAGUAGGGGUUCUGAGAGGAAGGUCCCCCACAUUGGAACUGAGACACGGUCCAAACUCCUACGGGAGGCAGCAGCC
This 262-nucleotide ribosomal RNA is filed under the name uncultured Prevotella sp. RNAcentral describes it as "partial 16S ribosomal RNA". It matches the Rfam family "Bacterial small subunit ribosomal RNA", at positions 95 to 355 of the family's 1533-position model. The record is from RNAcentral. Lineage: Bacteria; Pseudomonadati; Bacteroidota; Bacteroidia; Bacteroidales; Prevotellaceae.